RNAcentral lists this ribosomal RNA (852 nucleotides) under uncultured bacterium. RNAcentral describes it as "bacterial SSU rRNA". It matches the Rfam family "Bacterial small subunit ribosomal RNA", at positions 556 to 1398 of the family's 1533-position model. The record is from RNAcentral.
GGGCGUAAAGAGUUCGUAGGCGGUUAUCUAAGUCUGGUGUUAAAGCCCGAAGCUCAACUUCGGCAUGGCAUUGGAAACUGGGUAGCUAGAGUGUGGUAGAGGUAUCGGGAAUUCCUGGUGUAGCGGUGAAAUGCGUAGAUAUCAGGAGGAACACCGGCGGCGAAAGCGCGAUACUGGGCCAUAACUGACGCUGAGGAACGAAAGCCAGGGGAGCGAAAGGGAUUAGAUACCCCUGUAGUCCUGGCCGUAAACGAUGGAUACUAGGUGUUGGAGGAUUCGACCCCUUCAGUGCCGUAGCUAACGCGAUAAGUAUUCCGCCUGGGGAGUACGACCGCAAGGUUGAAACUCAAAGGAAUUGACGGGGGCCCGCACAAGCGGUGGAACAUGUGGUUUAAUUCGAUGCAACGCGAAGAACCUUACCUGGGCUUGACAUCUUUGGAACCUUGCGGAAACGUGAGGGUGCCUUCGGGAGCCAAAAGACAGGUGGUGCACGGUUGUCGUCAGCUCGUGUCGUGAGAUGUUGGGUUAAGUCCCGCAACGAGCGCAACCCUCGUGGUCUGUUGUUACAGGUCGUAAGAUGCUGAACCCUCAGGCCAGACUGCCGGUGACAAACCGGAGGAAGGUGGGGGAUGACGUCAAAUCAUCACGCCCCUUAUGUCCAGGGCUACACACGUGUUACAAUGGGUAGUGGACAAUGGGUAGCUUGGGCAGCGAUGUCCGGCAAAUCCCCUAAACCACCCCUCAGUUCGGGAUCGUAGUCUGCAACUCGACUACGUGAAGUCGGAAUCGCUAGUAAACGCAGAUCAGCACGCUGCGUUGAAUACGUUCCCGGGCUUGCACACACCGCCCGUC